RNAcentral lists this transfer RNA (69 nucleotides) under Ictidomys tridecemlineatus (thirteen-lined ground squirrel). RNAcentral's name for it is "Spermophilus tridecemlineatus (thirteen-lined ground squirrel) tRNA". It matches the Rfam family "tRNA". Rfam says of the family: Transfer RNA (tRNA) molecules are approximately 80 nucleotides in length. Their secondary structure includes four short double-helical elements and three loops (D, anti-codon, and T loops). The record is from Rfam by way of RNAcentral. Lineage: Eukaryota; Metazoa; Chordata; Mammalia; Rodentia; Sciuridae.
UGGGUUGUGGCUCAAUAGAGCACUUGCCUCCCAUGUAUGAUGUACUGGGUUCGAUUCUCAGCACCACAU